UUCUUCAUCUUCUUCUUCCUCUUCUUUCUUCCUC
This 34-nucleotide small RNA is filed under the name Arabidopsis thaliana (thale cress). RNAcentral describes it as "ATSL244060". Lineage: Eukaryota; Viridiplantae; Streptophyta; Magnoliopsida; Brassicales; Brassicaceae. The record is from RNAcentral.